AACGCACAUUGCGCCCGCCAGUAUUCUGGCGGGCAUGCCUGUUCGAGCGUCAUUUCAACCCUCAAGCCCGGCUUGGUGUUGGGGCAUUGCGGCUUGCCGCAAGCCCUGAAAAGCAGUGGCGGGCUCGCUAUAACUCCGAGCGUAGUAGUUUUAUCUCGCUAUGGAAGAGUGGCGGGUCCCGGCCGUAAAAACCUCACUUUUCUCAAGGUUGACCUCGGAUCAGGUAGGAAUACCCGCUGAACUUAA
RNAcentral lists this unclassified non-coding RNA (246 nucleotides) under uncultured Sordariales. Its description in RNAcentral is "sequence contains 5.8S rRNA gene, ITS2, 28S rRNA gene". The stretch from base 1 to 52 matches the Rfam family "5.8S ribosomal RNA", at positions 103 to 154 of the family's 154-position model. Lineage: Eukaryota; Fungi; Ascomycota; Sordariomycetes; Sordariales. The record is from RNAcentral.